Molecule: non-coding RNA, 30 nt
Filed under: Rattus norvegicus (Norway rat)
Lineage: Eukaryota; Metazoa; Chordata; Mammalia; Rodentia; Muridae
Source: RNAcentral
UCAGCUGGAGACCUACAUAAAGACAUUGGA